Molecule: long non-coding RNA, 464 nt
Organism: Physella acuta
Lineage: Eukaryota; Metazoa; Mollusca; Gastropoda; Physidae
Source: RefSeq, a predicted model, not a curated record
CAAAACAGUUCCGAUAAGAAAUUAGAAGUUAACAGGGCAGAAAUUGUAACUCUAUACCACGGCGUGAAAACAGAUUGUGUUUGUGGACAAUUACUGCCUGGCACAAACAAGCUCAUAAAAUGAAAAUUCUCUUCUGUGUGUUUGUUGCCAUUGUCCUGGCGUCGGUUCAGGGAGCGGCGAUACUGGACACAGCUAGUCAAGACGUGACGGUUGCAACCACGCCCACCCCCUGCCCACGUCUGCCGUGUCCAUGGGUUGGGUUCUGCGAGAAGACUGCCCCAACGUACUUUGACCAUGACGGCGUCCGGUGCCGUGGCUGCGACAUAUGUGUCGUGUAGUGUGUUACAGCCGUGUUCACACACUAUCUAGCGUGUUUUAAACAGGAAAUGUGUAGCUGUUUUCACUUGAGACUGUUUAAACAAGAAGUUUUUGUUUUCAAAUAAAUUUAGUCGUGUUUGUUUUCA